This 456-nucleotide ribosomal RNA is filed under the name Staphylococcus simulans. RNAcentral's name for it is "bacterial SSU rRNA". It matches the Rfam family "Bacterial small subunit ribosomal RNA", at positions 1018 to 1474 of the family's 1533-position model. Lineage: Bacteria; Bacillati; Bacillota; Bacilli; Caryophanales; Staphylococcaceae. The record is from RNAcentral.
UUCGGGGGACAAAGUGACAGGUGGUGCAUGGUUGUCGUCAGCUCGUGUCGUGAGAUGUUGGGUUAAGUCCCGCAACGAGCGCAACCCUUAAGCUUAGUUGCCAGCAUUAAGUUGGGCACUCUAAGUUGACUGCCGGUGACAAACCGGAGGAAGGUGGGGAUGACGUCAAAUCAUCAUGCCCCUUAUGAUUUGGGCUACACACGUGCUACAAUGGACGGUACAAAGGGCAGCGAACCCGCGAGGUCAAGCAAAUCCCAUAAAGCCGUUCUCAGUUCGGAUUGUAGUCUGCAACUCGACUACAUGAAGCUGGAAUCGCUAGUAAUCGUAGAUCAGCAUGCUACGGUGAAUACGUUCCCGGGUCUUGUACACACCGCCCGUCACACCACGAGAGUUUGUAACACCCGAAGCCGGUGGAGUAACCUUUUAGGAACUAGCCGUCGAAGGUGGGACAAAUGA